GAUAAAUUCCAGAGUAGAAUGUUGUGGCUCAGUCUUUCUGACCUCUGGACGUCCCAGGGGCUAUUCUUCUUUCAUUCCAGGAGGACCCCACAAGGAUGGUGCUGAAGCAUCAAAAGAACAUGCAGAAUUCAAAAAUGGAAAGAAGCCAUGUGGCCACCAGGAUUGUCUUUAAGAAACUACACAAGGGUGCAUGUACUACUCAAGAGGAAAAACAAACCAUUAAAUGGCAUUGUCUCGACCUCAACUCUGAAGUUCUUUCAUCAGAUCAAACUCAAAAACAUUCCACAAGGAGAAAAUAUUGAAGGCAACAGCUCAUACCCAGGCCUGCUGGAUUGGAGCACAUGUUGCUUCUGUCACUACACAGAUGCGGAGGGCUUUUCUGGUCUUAAGUAUGCCUGCUUUUACCACUGUUGCUACUUCCACAACAUCCCACCUCAUUGCUGUCCAGUAUGGCUCCUCAGUAACAAAAUGACCCAUCUUGAUAUUACCGGCA
RNAcentral lists this long non-coding RNA (493 nucleotides) under Phascolarctos cinereus (koala). RNAcentral describes it as "lncRNA (ENSPCIG00000036761.1)". The record is from RNAcentral. Lineage: Eukaryota; Metazoa; Chordata; Mammalia; Diprotodontia; Phascolarctidae.